GCUGGUUUACACGCUGAUGUGUCCAAGAAAAUAAAAAACGGGUGUAGUCUUUUGAAUCGGUCCCAAAUGCAUCACACCCGAAUACAAUUUCACUCUCACCUCAAACCCUACCACUAUUUUCCCCUCACAGCUACCUCGCCCGAAAUGCAAAAAACCUCUCACGAAUCAUCUCAUGCGAGGAGAUCUAAGGCUACAAGAUUGAAGCCCACCGUACGCAGCAGAAUCGACCGUCGCUGAGUCCUUCUUCUCCGGCAAAAUCUCAGCUGUAGGGGUUCCAGCCUCGACUUGAUUUCGACAAAUUUCAAUUUCGCCUCUCCACUUGCCGAUCAUUUGCAGGACCCUAAAGGCGUGUUUCUUAUACUUUAUGUGAUUGAAGCAAUUAUAAAAAUAUUAAUAUUUUUUGCAUAUCGUAGCUUGAUGCGUUGAUUUGGCUCGUUGAAUCCGAAGGGUGAGAGGGAAAGAGCUCUUAAAAAGCAGCUGGAGAAAAACUACAACAAAAUAAAGUAAGUUGUUCAUGACUUUGUACCAAGAUUGUUCCUUUCGCAGUUUCCAUGCCUCAAGUAAGGGAUGGAGGGGUGGCGUGGGGAGCGGGAAGUGGGAGAAAGUGAUGAUUAGAGUAUUAUUGUGAUCUUCGAUUUUGGGGUUUUUGAUUUUGUUUGGUAAUUUUUCACAAAAAAUUGAAUGACGAAGGUCACUUUUUCCAAAAUAGACUAUAGAUCUCGUGAUAUUGACCAAGAGGGAAAACAAAAGUAUUAUACUCAAAGGACCAAAAACUUAAAGCAAUAGGGAAAAGCAUUGGAUCAAAAAUAGAGGGUUGAAGAGAGAUUUCUAACAAAUCAGAAAUCCUAGUACUAUCAAAAAUUGUCUUGGUAAGACCAUGGCCCACAAGGCGAGCAUGCCAUCUACGGAAAACAACAUCAAAUUUAGGCCAAGUGCGAAUAUCUCUUUCGCGAAGCGGCCUUAGCAGCAAAGAGUUUAGAAACGGAGGGCUUUGAGUACAAGGGAAUAGCUAGCCCACUGCCACUUGUUCGACAGCCUUGGCGUUGUUGAAUGAAGGACCAAUAUAGAACUCAUUGAGUUCAGCAUUGGCUGGUGCAAGGAAGUUCGGAGUUAUAUAUGGCUGAGUGAAGAUUUUCUGGAAGUCUUCAAAACUAAAAGAGUCACCGGAUUGGGAUUGUGAAGCAGCCAUUGGGAACGAAAUAAAGUUUUGUUGAAGUUUGCUUGAGAAACAUAGCAGAGAAGCAAGAAGAUGAACAGUAAUAUUGCGAGAGAGAAGCGCGAAACAAUGAGGCGUGAUUUAGUGGUACGAUGAAAUGACGUGUAUUUGAGGGAUAUAAGUGUUUGCAACGUCACGCCUUUUCAGGCUAUGGAAGAAAAUAAUAAUUGAAAUUUUUGGGAAUUUCAAAUGUUGUUGGGAAACACAAAGUGAAUAUGGCAAAAAUUAAUAAUUGAUAUUAAUUCUGCCAUAUUGGGGGUAAUUGUUGACACGCUAAAAGUGCAGUCCAAAUCGAAUAGCCCAAAGAAUGAAACCCAAUUGGGCAAUUCAGGAUAAAGGCCCAAAUGGGGUUAUUAAUGAAUGCAGUGGAAGCCCACGAACGCGGUAACACCAUCGCCUAAACUUGCAAGACGCCCAAGAUCUGAGCGAAUGAAGUGCCUUGCAGUCGUCCAGGGUUAUGACCCUAUUCUCGCCCAAACCUUCGAAUCGCCCAGGAUCUUAGCAAACAUAAGAUGUUAUGGUUAUCCAAAAGUGUAGUUAUCCAAGCAGUUAUUAAGUAAUCUUAUCACGUUCCACGAUUCAAGAAGUUCCGUUGCAGACGGUUGAACGAUAAAAAGUAGUGGCAGCAGUUAGAGACGGCAGUUCCACGAUAAGUUGGCCACCAUGAAAAAAGUGGACAGUUAUAAAGCAAUUAAGCAGUUUCUAAGCGGUUGAUCACAAAGAGAUCAUUAAGAAAUUAUAAAAGGAAGAAAAGACAUAAAGCACAAGACCCCGAAUCAAACACUCUCAAACAGAGAAUAUGUAAUUUCAAUUUCUUAGUUUAGACUAAAACAUUUCUUUUCAGUACUCGUGUGCUUGCGUCCCUUGGAGGCAUUCUGUUUAAUUCCAAUUGUAAAGUCAUCGCCAAUAAAACACCCCUUUUUGGGACUUUGUCUCAAGAGGUUUGUUCCUUACACAAUCGUCUGAUCUUUUUUUAAUUGUUAGCGACUACCCGCGCGAAACAAUAUUAGCAACACAAUUUUUACUGAUUACGCCAUAUUUUAAUUGCAAUAAAAAUCAUAAAUCUUUAAUUUUUUGCACUUAUGUCAAUUUAUUUUUAUUGCAUUUUGUACUCAACCUUAAAUUAAUUAGCACAUUUUAUCUCUGAUGAUGAUUUUUGUCCAAAUAUUUUGUUAGUUCCUUUGAAAUGGGGGGCAAAUAUUUUAUUUUACUUUGUGUAUUUGUUACUUUUUUUCUUAUUUAAAAAUAUGAGUAUAAAUAAGUCUUUGUAUGUACUCCUAACACAUUUUUUUGAAUAAACACUGUUAUCAAAGACAUGAGGAUAACAAUGCGAUGAAAAAUUUGAGGAUACAUGUACAGUUGAGCAAAUUUUGAGGACCUUCAUUACAAUUAAUUCCUUUUUUUCUUCUAGUAUUUUUAUUUUAUUUUUAUUAUGUUAUUUCUCACUUUUUUUUUUCAUUAUCAUUUAUCUUGAUUUUCACAUUCUUAUUUUAUGAUUUUGCAGUUUGUGAAUUACUUACAAUUAUUUAUAGUAACAUGAAUGAGUCAAUAUAUUUAGCCCUUGUUUGGCCAUCAUUUUUUUUUCCAAAUUUUAAUGUUUGGAAUAGUAAUUUUUUUUAAAGAAUGUGCAAUUGAAAAAGAAUGAAAAAUUUUCAAUUUAAGUAUGAUAUUAUUUUAUGGAAGAUUGUGUGAUUGAAAAUAAGAGAGAAGAAAAAAAAUGAAAGAGAACAUUUGAUUAUGUUAUAUAUCUUGAGUCGAGAGACUAAUGAUUAAAAAUGUAACAUCACAUUAAUUGGAGUCUGAUGAUAAACAAGCAAGUUAUAGUAAACAAGUGUGGUUCACAGAGCUAAUUACAACAAGGACAUUGGUUUGAAGCCCCAAUCCAACCACAAAUGGUAAAAAAAUUUGAUGAAGAAAUCUUUGAAUCGAUAGCUCAAAUAGAAUUCGACUGAUCGAUUCUACCCAAAAAUUGACCUGAUUGGACGGGUUAUGAUCGAUUUCCUUGCAAACCAGUCAAAAUAAUUAUCCAGAUCGGCUUCAUUUCCGUCUUUUCAUGCUCUAGUUAGAUCGAGUUGAACUUUAAAAUUAUGUAGCGCUUUAUCGAUGAUCAAUAUUAAGCAUAAUGAUUUUUAUUUUUCUCAUUCCUCUUAGCUUUUCCCACACUCAAAUCCUUAAUAAAUCUCUAACCCAAUUAGUUCCCAAUAAAAAAUAAAAAUAAAAAUAAAAAAAAUUUAUCAUGAACAAGUAUACUUUAUCUAUGAUUAGACAGAAAUUACGCUUAACGACCAAUUGUACAAUUGAAAUGUUAAGAACGUAAAUAUUAUUUUUCCAAAAAGUUAAAUGACUAAACUGCAAUUUGGGUCAGAAAAUUGAGACAAAUAUUUUCUCCUCUUAAUGUCGCUCUCUGUAGUAACCAAAAACAAAGGAGCUCAAAAGAUCGUUUGGCAUAGCUUAUAAGUAGGAAUGUCAAUUGAUCUUGUUAGUUCGAACUGCUUGUGGCUUGACCCUGAAAAAGCCCGAGCUGGCCCAACUGGAGGCUCAGACCAAGCCCCAUCUUGGAGUGUUGGGCCCAGCCCAAGCCGACUACGGCUCACGGGCCUAAUUUAACCAAAUAUAUAUAUAUAUAUAUUUAAAAGCAGCAGAUUGUUGCCUUAGAAAAGGCAGCACUUUUUUGGGAAGUACGGUGCUGCCUUUAUCUAUUUUAAAAAAAAAAAAAAAGGUUGAGCUUGCUCGGCUCGGCUUGAGCCAAAAGCUCGGGUUGAGCUUUAUUUCUUGGUUGAGCAAAAGCUCAGCUCAGCUCAGCUUAGGCUUGCAAAAAAGCUUGGUCCAUUUUACUCGAUUGAGUCGGAGCCUCGAGUUUCAGCUCUCGAGCCGAUUCGACUAGACUUGUUGACAGCACUACUUAUAAGUAAGUUCUGCUGUAGAUGAGCAGCAGUCACUUUCAAUCAACAAAUACAUGUGUGUCAUGAAUGAAUAUUCAAUCAAUGUUUCGUGGAGUUUAAAGAUAACAAUAAUUUUAUUUAAAUUUUAGCAUAAUAGAUAAUAAUUCAUCAUAACCAUAGGGUUCACAUUCCCCUGUUUUGCAUCUCGAGUAGAUUAAUACUCCUUUUUCUUCUACACUUUUUAGGUUGUCCCACCAAUUGAGGUUCUUGUACUCGAUCUCGGAUAUUAGAACUGUGAAUUUGUGACAUACCAUAGUGCCCAUCAAAUCGAUGCCCCGUGCUUGUCACCAUUGAGUGGAGUCAUGACUAUGUAUGAUAAUGAUAAUGACUAUCUCAUCAAAUACUUCUGAUGUUUUUUGAAGCCAUCAGUUAUCCUUUGAUUCUAAUGCAGCACCAUAUCAUAAUGGAAUUGAAUAAGCCCUUGCUUGGUGAAAAACAUAUAAUUGAAUAAUAUUUUUUAGAAAAUGUGUUGUUAAAAGUAAAUAAAAAAUUUGAAUUUACGUUAUAAUAUUUUAUUGUGUGAAUGUACAAAUAAAUUAAAAAUAAUAAUAAAGGGUAUCAAGCUAAGGCUAAAUACAUGGAGUUGAGAUAUGUUAUUCAAAAUUGAUUGUUCAAUUUAAUGUUUAUCUAAUAAUUCAUUGACAAAUCACUUUAAAUUAAUAUGUCCUUUUUUUUCGCACUACCACUUAUGCUAAAAAAUAAGUGUAAAAUGAUGUGUCAAUUAUUCAUUUGUUGAAAACAAAUUGAACAAUCAAUUUUGAAUAGCAAGUCUCAAUUUGUUUUCCAUUAUUUACUCAUUAUUAAAAUAAAAAAAAAUGACCAUUAUUCAUCAUAUCAAAUCAUCACAUUUGAAAGUCUCUUGUGCAGAGCCCGUAAUCGUUAUAUUUUUUUAUUGUGAAAAUUACACAAAACCCAACUUUAAAAAGCCCGUGUUCUAAAAUCAGAUGGAAGGUUUCAAUUUUCACAAAUAAGUUUUUUCAACCCAAACCCUAAUACAUUUACCCAAACCGUAAAUUAUUUCUCCCACUUUCUCCUCCUCUCCCGGUUUCCAUUCUUCCCUCCCUCUCCACCAUCAUCUAGUCAGGAUCCCUUAUUGGUGGCGGCAAGGGACAGUCGUGCAUCGCUGAGUCUCCCUCGUCAUCUAAUCGCUAAUGUAGACGGUGAGGCGUUGGGAGCGGCGAUACCUUACUGCUCCUCAAUGGCAACGGCACAACUACGCCUAGCGAGGUGGAGCUCUAUUGUUGCCCAAAUCAGCAGCGAUACCUCUACUUGUGGUGAUGGCUAGCACUGUCAGAUCUGCUGCUGGUGGUGAUUGAUCAUGCAUCUGAUGGUGAGAUAAGAUGCUGGGUGUCGAAUCUGGGGUGGUGGCUGGUGGUGAUUUGUGAUAUUAUCCUAAUUAAUAAUUCAAAAGAAACUUUCAGAAUUGUGAUUUCGAUUUCUAGCUUUUUGCAAUUCAUUUUAUUUCUUUAUGGCGAUGCGUUUGUGUUGGGUUGGGGGCAAGUUUGUGUUUUGUUGUUGGCUUGUGUUGAAUGUGGUUAUGGCAGGGGUGAUGGUUCAGGCAGUUGUGGGUGGUGGUGCUAGCGGUGGUCACGAUGGUUUUGAGGUAGAUUUUUUAGGUUAGUUUGGUAGUGGUGACAAUGGUGGUCACGUGUGCGAUAUCAGGUGUUUUGGUGCUGCAGCGAUCCAGUGAGUUGGUGUUAGUGAUGGCGUUAUGUUAAGGUUGUUGCGAAGUCCAAGUCUGGUUGUGUGAUAACAUUAUUUUGGUUGAUUUUUGCGUUUGUGUGUUGUGUGGUGGUCGUGGUUGGUAAUAUGGUGGUAUUUUUUGCAAAUAAAUCGUGACUUGAUUUGUGACCGAUGAAAUUAACCAUGACCAAUUAAUUUGAUAAUUUGUAAUGAAUAAAUGAAUUAUGACCAAUGAAUAAUUUGUAUAAAAAAUUUUAUUCGUGACCCAAAAAUAAUAUAUGACCUAUGAAAUUUUUGAGUUGUGACAAAAAAAAAAAAAAAAGUUGUAACCAAUAAAUUGAUUAGUUGUGACUAAAAAAUAAUUUGUGACUAAUUAAUUUUUUUGAUUUGUGACCAAUGAACAAACUGUGACAUACAAAAUUUUUGAAUUGUGAUCGUAAAACAAUGUGACAUAAAAUUUUUGAUUUGUAAUCAAAAAAUAAUAAGUGACUAAUUAAAUCGCUAAUUUGUGAUCAAAUUGUACAGAUUCGUGAUCUAAAUAUAUUUAAUUAAUAAAAUAAUUAAUUAAUUAAUGAAAUUAUAAAUAAGUUUUAAUAAAAAAAUAAUUUUUGAAAUUUGAAACUUGUUUUCUCAAUUUUGAAAUGUGUGAUAUUUAAAAUCUUACUUAUGAAAUUUUUCCUUUUUUAUUUUUAUUCUUAUAUUAAUGUGGUCCAAACAAGCCCAAUUCUCAACUCAAGUAUACGUACUAGUCGAUAGCACGUGCGUUGCACGAUUAUUGUAUUUAAUCUGCUUUUAUUAGCGUGGUGUAGAGAUAUUUUAGUUUUUUUGGCUGAUUAUGCUUUCGAAGUUUGGAGUAAAUGUUUUGGCAUCAAUCUUCUUUGGUAGUUAGUAAAAAUUAGAUUUAAAAUUGUGGGAAUAUAAGUAAAAGUUAAUUUAUAAUUUUGCUUUAGUAAAGAAUAAUUUAAUUUUCUUUUUCCUUUCUUCUAACCAACUUUUCUUUAGAUUAUUUUAUUAAUUUCUUACAUUGAAAAUUGAAAACAUUUUAAAUGUAAUGAGAGAAUUUUAUGAAUUAAAAUGUUAAUUGAAAGAGUUUUUGGAGGAUAAUUUUAAAGAUUGACUUUUUAUUAUACACACUAUCUCAUGUUUAAAGAUUUUGCUAAAGACAUUUCAUUUAAAUAAAUAUGAAUAUUAGAAAUGGGUUUUGUUUGAAAGUAAGUGGGAAUUGUAGUCAAAUUAUUGUAAGAGAAUAUUGGACAGAUAAAUGCCAAAAUAGGAAAGAUUCUUGCAGAAAGAAAUAUACUAUUUCACCAACCUAACCUACUUCAUUUAUUUGUGACCUCAACUUUAUACUUCCUUUGUUGAUAUCAAAUUCAUAGCAUUUUCAUCUGUCAAUUCAUUCAUCUCAACAAAUUCUAAGGUAAGUUGAUUUCUAUGAAUAAAUGUUAUUUAUAUGAAUAAUUUAUGUUGAUAUUUGUGGAAGGAAGGUGAAGUUCUUGUGAAAAAUGAAGCUUGGUGUGGGAAGAAAUGGUGAAGAUGAUAAAAUUAUCUGUGGGAAGCUUGGCAAAGAUGUGUGCGGACUCCCCGCACAGAUCUGUGCGGACUCCCCGCACAGAUCUGUGCGGGGGCUGCGCACUUGCAUUCUUUUUCGAAAUACGUCUUGACGCAAUGAUUUUUAUAUAAAUUGGAACAAAAUCUUAGAAUUAGAAAUAUAUAUUAAAUGUGAUGAUUGAUAGUAAUUUUUCUUCCAACUUAGACGAUAGUUACAUUACGAUAUAUAUGAUAUAUACUUACAUGAAAUUAGGAAGAUAUGUUGGUAUAUAUUAUGACAUCUUUCAUUUCUAUUAUUUGUGACAUUUUUCAUUUCUAUUAUUUGUGCAGAUAUCUCUAGACUAUGUACUGUCACCAAACCAAUGGUUUUCUAGUACCAUCACUCAAUACCCGAAUUAUCGGUAUGAAAAAGAUUGUAUAACAUUGCUUCAAGCAGAUGACCAAUCACUUUUAAUCUCUAGUGAUAGCAG
Molecule: long non-coding RNA, 7859 nt
Filed under: Olea europaea (common olive)
Lineage: Eukaryota; Viridiplantae; Streptophyta; Magnoliopsida; Lamiales; Oleaceae
Description: long non-coding RNA (OEUR_LNC003931)
Source: RNAcentral